This 468-nucleotide ribosomal RNA is filed under the name uncultured bacterium. Its description in RNAcentral is "partial 16S ribosomal RNA". It matches the Rfam family "Bacterial small subunit ribosomal RNA", at positions 28 to 507 of the family's 1533-position model. The record is from RNAcentral.
GACGAACGCUGGCGGCGUGCUUAGCACAUGCAAGUCGAACGGAAAGGCCCUGCUUUUGUGGGGUGCUCGAGUGGCGAACGGGUGAGUAACACGUGAGUAACCUGCCCUUGACUUUGGGAUAACUUCAGGAAACUGGGGCUAAUACCGGAUAGGAGCUCCUGCUGCAUGGUGGGGGUUGGAAAGUUUCGGCGGUUGGGGAUGGACGCGCGGCUUAUCAGCUUGUUGGUGGGGGAGUGGCUUACCAAGGCUUUGACGGGUAGCCGGCCUGGGAGGGUGACCGGCCACAUUGGGACUGCGAUACGGCCCAGACUCCUACGGGAGGCAGCGGUGGGGAAUAUUGCACAAUGGGCGGAAGCCUGAUGCGGCAACGCCGCGUGCGGGAUGACGGCCUUCGGGUUGUAAACCGCUUUCGCCUGUGACGAAGCGUGAGUGACGGUAAUGGGUAAAGAAGCACCGGCUAACUACGUG